Transfer RNA from Camelus ferus (Wild Bactrian camel), 73 nucleotides. It matches the Rfam family "tRNA". Rfam says of the family: Transfer RNA (tRNA) molecules are approximately 80 nucleotides in length. Their secondary structure includes four short double-helical elements and three loops (D, anti-codon, and T loops). Further hydrogen bonds mediate the characteristic L-shaped molecular structure. tRNAs have two regions of fundamental functional importance: the anti-codon, which is responsible for specific mRNA codon recognition, and the 3' end, to which the tRNAs corresponding amino acid is attached (by aminoacyl-tRNA synthetases). tRNAs cope with the degeneracy of the genetic code in two manners: having more than one tRNA (with a specific anti-codon) for a particular amino acid; and 'wobble' base-pairing, i.e. permitting non-standard base-pairing at the 3rd anti-codon position. The record is from Rfam. Lineage: Eukaryota; Metazoa; Chordata; Mammalia; Artiodactyla; Camelidae.
GAGGAUAUAGUUCAAGUGGUAGAGUGAAUGCCUAACAUGCACAAGGUCCUGGGUUCAACCUCCAGUAUCUUCU